Molecule: ribosomal RNA, 497 nt
Filed under: uncultured bacterium
Lineage: Bacteria
Description: partial 16S ribosomal RNA
Rfam family: Bacterial small subunit ribosomal RNA
Source: RNAcentral
GAUGAACGCUGGCGGCGUGCCUAAUACAUGCAAGUCGAGCGAACAGAUAAGGAGCUUUCUCCUUUGACGUUAGCGGCGGACGGGUGAGUAACACGUGGGUAACCUACCUCUAAGACUGGGAUAACUUCGGGAAACCGGAGACAAUACCGGCUCAUAUUUCGAACCGCAUGGUUCGAUAGUGCAAGAUGGUUUUGCUGUCACUUAUAGAUGGACCCGCGCCGGAUUAGCUAGUUGGUAAGGUAACGGCUUACCAAGGCGACGAUACGUAGCCGACCUGAGAGGGUGAUCGGCCACACUGGAACUGAGACACGGUCCAGACUCCUACGGGAGGCAGCAGUAGGGAAUCUUCCGCAAUGGGCGAAAGCCUGACGGAGCAACGCCGCGUGAGUGAUGAAGGUCUUCGGAUCGUAAAGCUCUGUUAUUAGGGAAGAACAGACGUGUAAGUAACUGUGCACGUCUUGACGGUACCUAAUCAGAAAGCCACGGCUAACUACGUG